This 253-nucleotide ribosomal RNA is filed under the name uncultured bacterium. RNAcentral's name for it is "partial 16S ribosomal RNA". It matches the Rfam family "Bacterial small subunit ribosomal RNA", at positions 524 to 776 of the family's 1533-position model. The record is from RNAcentral.
UACGUAGGGUGCAAGCGUUAAUCGGAAUUACUGGGCGUAAAGCGUGCGCAGGCGGCUUUGUAAGUCUGACGUGAAAUCCCCGGGCUCAACCUGGGAAUUGCGUUGGAGACUGCAAGGCUAGAAUCUGGCAGAGGGGGGUAGAAUUCCACGUGUAGCAGUGAAAUGCGUAGAGAUGUGGAGGAACACCGAUGGCGAAGGCAGCCCCCUGGGUCAAGAUUGACGCUCAUGCACGAAAGCGUGGGGAGCAAACAGG